AACUUUUAACAAUGGAUCUCUAGGCUCUCACAUCGAUGAAGAACACAGUGAAAUGUGAUAAGUAAUGUGAAUUGCAGAAUUCAGUGAAUCAUCAAAUCUUUGAACGCACAUUGCGCCUCUCUGGAUUUUUCCAAGAGGCACACCUGUUUGAGUGUCAUGAAAUACUAUACUCAUAACUUCUUUUAUUUUCUCAACACCCAACUGGGUGCGGGGAAAAGAGGAAGUUGUGGAUGAUGAGUGUAGCUGUGUGAUGUGGCUCACUUU
Molecule: ribosomal RNA, 264 nt
Filed under: Ravenelia macowaniana
Lineage: Eukaryota; Fungi; Basidiomycota; Pucciniomycetes; Pucciniales; Raveneliaceae
Description: 5.8S ribosomal RNA
Rfam family: 5.8S ribosomal RNA (bases 1-157)
About the family: 5.8S ribosomal RNA (5.8S rRNA) is a component of the large subunit of the eukaryotic ribosome. It is transcribed by RNA polymerase I as part of the 45S precursor that also contains 18S and 28S rRNA.
Source: RNAcentral